This 70-nucleotide transfer RNA is filed under the name Cossypha semirufa (Rueppell's robin-chat). RNAcentral's name for it is "tRNA-Val". The record is from RNAcentral. Lineage: Eukaryota; Metazoa; Chordata; Aves; Passeriformes; Muscicapidae.
CAAGACGUAGCUUUAACGAAAGCAUUCAGCUUACACCUGAAAGAUAUCUGCUAACAUCAGAUCGUCUUGA